CCCCUGGUGGCUGAGAUGGUAAAGCGUCUGCCUACAAUGUGGGAGACCCGGGUUCAAUCCCUGGGUUGGGAA
Transfer RNA from Ovis aries (sheep), 72 nucleotides. It matches the Rfam family "tRNA". Rfam says of the family: Transfer RNA (tRNA) molecules are approximately 80 nucleotides in length. NCBI's taxonomy places the organism in Eukaryota, Metazoa, Chordata, Mammalia, Artiodactyla, Bovidae. The record is from Rfam.